ACGUACGACCAUAGGUCGCAGAAAGCAACGGAUCCCGUCCGCUCUCCGAUAUUUAACCUGCGAACCGGCUGACUAGUACCCAAGUGGGUGACCAUUGGGGAAUCCCAGCUGUUGUACGGU
Molecule: ribosomal RNA, 120 nt
Organism: Macrophomina phaseolina MS6
Lineage: Eukaryota; Fungi; Ascomycota; Dothideomycetes; Botryosphaeriales; Botryosphaeriaceae
Source: Rfam